GACGAACGCUGGCGGCGUGCUUAACACAUGCAAGUCGAACGGAAAGGCCUGCUUUCCCUUGUGGAUUGCGGGUACUCGAGUGGCGAACGGGUGAGUAACACGUGAGUGAUCUGCCCCCAACUUGGGUAUAAGCCUGGGAAACUGGGUCUAAUUCCCGAUAGGACUGCAGGGUGGUGCCUGUGGUGGAAAACGAUUUUCUAGUGGUUGGGGAUGAGCUCGCGGCCUAUCAGCUUGUUGGUGGGGUAAUGGCCUACCAAGGCGGCGACGGGUAGCCGGCCGGGGAGGGUGGACGGCGACAGUGGGACUGAGAUACGGCCCAGACUCCUGCGGGAGGCAGCAGUGGGGAAUAUUGCACAAUGGGCGGAAGCCUGAUGCAGCGACGGCGCGUGGGGGAUGACGGCCUUCGGGUUGUAAACUCCUUUCGACCGCGAGGAAGCCACCUGGUUGGAAGGGUGGUGACGGUAGUGGUAGAAGAAGCACCGGCUAACUACGUG
RNAcentral lists this ribosomal RNA (494 nucleotides) under uncultured bacterium. RNAcentral's name for it is "partial 16S ribosomal RNA". It matches the Rfam family "Bacterial small subunit ribosomal RNA", at positions 28 to 507 of the family's 1533-position model. The record is from RNAcentral.